RNAcentral lists this transfer RNA (63 nucleotides) under Perna perna. RNAcentral's name for it is "tRNA-Thr". Lineage: Eukaryota; Metazoa; Mollusca; Bivalvia; Mytilida; Mytilidae. The record is from RNAcentral.
AGCUAAAAAAGCUUUAAAGAAGCGGUGGUCUUGUAAGCCACAGAUACCUUAGGUUUUUGGCUU